This 216-nucleotide ribosomal RNA is filed under the name Triticum aestivum (bread wheat). Its description in RNAcentral is "partial small subunit ribosomal RNA". Lineage: Eukaryota; Viridiplantae; Streptophyta; Magnoliopsida; Poales; Poaceae. The record is from RNAcentral.
AUGGUUGUUGAACUGAAGAACAAACCAAGGGAAGGUGGAGAGAAUAGGAUACCCCGUCUCAGUCAACAGAGCGAAAGAAUGGUGCAAAGUGUCAACAUGAUCUACUGCCAAGAAAAAAAAUUUAUAACUCUCACUCUCAUUCUUCUCGGCAAACAAGAGAAGCACAAACACAAUGUAGCACAAUUUAUGUGUUUGAUGUUACUUUUUCCCAUUUGA